UUAUGUCCAUCCUUUGAUAAUGUACAAUCCAGACAAUUGGAACCUCACUUUCUCAGUUCAAAAUCCUAACACCAAUUAUGAUUUCUAUUACAACGAUUUCAAGCUUAAUCGAUUCAACGUUUACGCGUUGAGAAUUUACAAGACAGUACACAAACAGGAGU
Solanum verrucosum is the source of this 161-nucleotide long non-coding RNA. RefSeq lists it as uncharacterized. The transcript is spliced from 3 exons. Lineage: Eukaryota; Viridiplantae; Streptophyta; Magnoliopsida; Solanales; Solanaceae. The record is from RefSeq and is a predicted model, not a curated record.